Molecule: ribosomal RNA, 468 nt
Filed under: uncultured bacterium
Lineage: Bacteria
Description: partial 16S ribosomal RNA
Rfam family: Bacterial small subunit ribosomal RNA
Source: RNAcentral
GACGAACGCUGGCGGCGUGCUUAACACAUGCAAGUCGAACGGAAAGGCCCUGCUUUUGUGGGGUGCUCGAGUGGCGAACGGGUGAGUAACACGUGAGUAACCUGCCCUUGACUUUGGGAUAACUUCAGGAAACUGGGGCUAAUACCGGAUAGGAGCUCCUGCUGCAUGGUGGGGGUUGGAAAGUUUCGGCGGUUGGGGAUGGACUCGCGGCUUAUCAGCUUGUUGGUGGGGUAGUGGCUUUCCAAGGCUUUGACGGGUAGCCGGCCUGAGAGGGUGACCGGCCACAUUGGGACUGAGAUACGGCCCAGACUCCUACGGUAGGCAGCAGUGGGGAAUAUUGCACAAUGGGCGGAAGCCUGAUGCAGCAACGCCGCGUGCGGGAUGACGGCCUUCGGGUUGUAAACCGCUUUCGCCUGUGACGAAGCGUGAGUGACGGUAAUGGGUAAAGAAGCACCGGCUAACUACGUG